This is a long non-coding RNA of Columba livia (rock pigeon), 5369 nucleotides long. RefSeq lists it as uncharacterized. The transcript has 4 exons. NCBI's taxonomy places the organism in Eukaryota, Metazoa, Chordata, Aves, Columbiformes, Columbidae. The record is from RefSeq and is a predicted model, not a curated record.
CUCCUACUUUUGCUAAAGGCAUAAAGGUAUCUUCAUCUCUCUUCUUCCUCCUCACUGAGCUGCAGGAGAAGAGGGGCUGUUGGUGGCAGCAAAAAUCCAGCAACACUGGCCCAGUAGAUGAAAAGCACUUGACAAAUGACUAUAGGAAGGAGCUGAGCCCAAAGGCCUGAGCGUGACUGUAAUGGGAUUUACUCCACUCGACUCCUGUCAGUCUCUCUGGAGGAAAGUCCACACUGGGCAGCCCUGGUCUGGGCUUGGGGUGAAUUACGGAGCAAGAAGAGCUGUUUUUUUGUAGCUUUUCUGCUGAAUCCAAAUGAGCUCCCUCUUCAUCUGGGGAGAUCACUGUGCAAAGAGGGUUCCUUUUUGAAUACAGCCAGGGAUCUUCCACCCAGACCCAAGGAAACAAUCAUGGUCUGUGUGCAGCUCUGGAUGUCACUGAGACGUGGCACAGCUUUCCCUAACCAUCUGGGCUGCUUUCUUUGGGCAUGGGAUGAGGGUGCCUGCUGUGGCUGUGGAGUUUCCAACGAGUGGAUGUCAAGAUCUGCUUUGCCUCUGAUGUGAAGUGCUGGCACGCAUACUGCUGUUCGUGGGGCUGUCUGUGCUCACCAUAAAUCGAAUCCCCAUGAGGUGGCCUUUGGUUCAGCUCAGCCAAGAGUCCUCUGACUGUGACAGCACUUCUCCUACAGCCUUUAAUAGCUUUUUAACUUUUUCAGUUAUAAUGGGCACCAUUAAAUCAUUUCCCAGUCAGCUCCGUACAGUGGUACCUGAGAAACCACCAUUAUUUCCUGUUGUAGAUAUAGGGAACAUCUGCACAUACAUCUGCAGGGUUACUAUCGGUAAGUGUUGAGUUCUUAAUGGGGAUGGUCAGACACAGCAGGGCACAAUGAUGUCCUGGAUGCUGGAGUGGCUGUGGUGGCCUUCGAAGCAAUGUAGGAGGAGCUGGCUGAGACAACAACUGAGAAUAAAAUAUGUAAAGACCAAAAUACUCGGUAGAGUCAGUAACGAGAGCUGGAGUUUUAUACCUUUGCGGGUUGGCUUGUAAAUCUGACUGUCUUGGAGUGGAAAUCAUAAGUGGGGGGAUGCUCCAGAGAAACAUGGCAUUGCAUUCGCAUGGGAACAAUCAGGCAUGGAGACCAGGGCUUCUUCCAGCCUUGGGAGCCCAGAAAUUUUGGAAAACGGUGGUGACCCUGGUGCAGAGACUAUGGGACAGGUACUCAUAUUGCAAGGAACAAGCAGCCUUCAAGAGUGUUGGUGUAGUGAUGGUGCAAGGGGGGAUGGGAAGGUUGAAUUAAUCUCUCUGUGUAGAAAGCCUGAUGAGAAACCAACCUCUGCUUCCUGAGGGCUUUUUGGGGUGGUCUGCCUGGAUCUCAAGGGCUUCCAGUCCAGGAGCACCAGCAAGAAGUAAGGGGGUGGUGGAUGGAUUGUUCUCUUUGUUCUAAAUGUUGUGUCUCUUUGUGGUGGAAACGUGAAAAGCCCCAAAGUCACUCCGGGCAUGCGUUCAAGAGAAGUUUCUGGGAGAGGACUCUUUCCAGUGAUGUAAAAAGCUGCAGUUUGCUCCAAACAUUAAGUAUUAUAAAUGUGGCUGAUGUAAUUCCAUUUCAAAAAGCCUUGGAGGCUUGCAAUAAUAAACAGAGCUUUUUAGUACCAGGUUAUUGAUGCAAAAUAGUUUAGCGAACUGAGUUGCUGAAGUGCAAAUGCCAUGUAUUAUUCAUUAGAUGCUUUCUUUCCACAAAUCACUGCUCUUCAUGGCAUAAUGUCCCCCGCUCCCGGUAGCAUCGCUCUUUGGGAAACUCUUUGGUGUGAGCCAAAACGUGGAGAUGCAGACCCAUCCAUCAGGGCAAGCAGUUGGCUGUGUUGUUGUCUUCCAAAUGGAGUUAAUAAUGGGCAAAGAGGUUUAAUUAAUGCUUCAGAGUAAUGCGUCUGUUUAUAAAGAAAUAAUGUACUAUAAAAUUAGGCAAUGCAUAGUGAAAUGUAUCUCUUAAUGGUGAGGCUGGCAUUUUAAGUGAUCAGUAAAUCACUUAAAUAUUAAGACCUCCUUGAACAGGAAUAAUAAAGCAAGAGAUUUGGAAAUGGGAGAUACCAAUACUUACAAUUAUCCACUAAAUAAAACAUUUUUAUAGUGAUCAUAGAGUUAAUCACCUUACAGAGCAGACAGGUGAUAGGGACAGUGGAAGAUAUGUGGCAUUAUUGCCUGCAGAAAAAGGGAUUUCAAAUGCAUUUUUAAGGCCAGCAUCAACAAGGAGAAAAUAUAAAUGUUUUCUGAACUCUUUAUCUAUUCUUUUGAUGAAUAAAUGCAAGCAGCCAUCGUUACAUAGAAGAGCUCAUGAUCAAAAAUAUGAUAGACUAAGAAUAUUCCCCAGACAGUGCUAACACAGUUUCAUGGCAGAACAGAGUGAUGAUCUAUGAAUGUUGUUUUCAAACUCCUGCUUUAAAUAUCUGAAAGUAUUAUCAAUUACCUCAGUAUUUUUAAAAGCAAGUUGGGCAAAAAUACAGAAUUACUACUUUACAACCUUAAUAGAAUGAGUUUUGCAGCACUUCUGUUCAAUGAUGGGAAGGAUACAGGAGGAGACUCCCAGGUCUCCAAUGCAAGAAGUUUUGGCAGAUUUCGAAGGUGAAAUGAGAUUUUAAUGAACUGAAUGAGAUCCAAAUGAUAGGGAUAAUUUUCAAGUUAAAUACACAGAAACUAAUGGUCUGUAGGAGAUACAAACUGUUUGCAUAAGAACCCACACAGAUUUUUGUCCCAAGCUGUGAAAUUAUCACAACAACUUCGAAGAACUGUGGAAAAGGAUCAUGGAAAGGAGUGUCCCAGAUGGUUGGAGACUCUUGAUAGGCAAUAUCCAAAUGGAUAGCAUGUGGAGAUGUGUGUGUCUUUGAGUAAGUGUCCCUCUUAUUGUCUAUGUGAAUCUGUGACUUCUGACCAGAGUGUGUCCCCUUUACCAGUGCAACUGCAGAAAUGGUCCACAGUGUCAUUCAAUUCAUGAAAAAGAGGUUUUUUUUUUUUUCUUAGAGUAUUAGGAUUUUCUCACUUAAAAAAAGGCAGCAGCAGGCACCUCAAAUAUUUUUUUUAAUUAAUUCAAGCACAGAAAAUAAGGAAAUAUACUUGUAUAAGAUACUCUUUGUCAACGGAAGUGAUUGCUGAAUUUGUUGAGUGGAGAGUUAGCUCUUUGUUAAGAAUUCAGAGAUGUCUCUGAAGAUGAGAAGUAGAUGGUCCAAUCGCACAUGCUGCUUUCAUCACUUGGUAUUUUAUCAUUUCUCUAUGUGAAAAAAUAAGCAGAAUGUCUAAGCAACUUUAUGUAAAGAGAAGGAAAAGAUGAUGUGAUGGAUCCCAUCUUUGGGUGCUGGGCUGCUGAUUUCCAGAUCUGCCUAAGGUUUUGGAUUUAAAACCAAACCAAAACCAAUCAAACAAAAAUGAGAGAGAGAGAAGAAAAUGAAAAAGGAACAGAUGAUCAAGAAUGCAGAAAACUCAGCCCAGGCAUCCUGGCUGGUCUCUGAAAUGCAUUGAAACAACAUAUCUUCUGGAAUAUCUUUCAUAUUUUGUGCUUAAGUGUUUAAUGUUGGAAUCAAUACAGAAACGGUUUAGUAGCAGCUGUGUUUAGUUGCCAAGUCUUAACUUGAUCUACUUUUAUGGGACAAAAAUUAUUUUGAAAUUAAUUUCCUCCCUCAGUUAGCACUUGGAAAUGUUUCUAAAAUGAAGAAAAAUGUAGCUUCAAAAGGCCUUUUGUGAGAAGUAUGCUUGAACAUUAAGAAUUUCACAAUAAACAACAGUUUUCCUAAAAGAUUUUCGAGAAUAACUAUUUUGCGCUUCUUGGGACUGAGCCUUGUGCCUAUUGCAGCGCUGCUGGGCCCAUGAAACCCACGAGUUUUGAGAUGAACUGGCACGUAUUUCAUCCCAGAUUCUCUUCAUGGCAGAUUAAGCCAAGUUAAAAUAGCAACUGACCCUUAGAAGCUGUGGAAAAGACGCUUCAGAUCAGAAGAAGUAAUUUAUUCUGAUUAGUGCUGACUGCUUGUCAAACACCAGCCUAACUAUUCCCCAUCUUCUGCCCCACAAGGUCAGAGAGCUUGACCUAAACUCCUCCUGGAUUCAUCUUAGAUAACAGAGAGGGAUGAAGAGCCGUUCGUAGGAACGGGGACUCGAAGAAGUUCUAUUUCAUGGUCACUUGGGUAAUUUGCAGCUGGAUUUCUUCUUGACCUUUCUGCCCUGUGUUGUUAACAGCAAAGAGGUCUUGUCUCCCCCGAUCAUUUUAAUCUGAAGAAAGCUGCCAGGUAGUGUUGAAAACACAUUGGGCUCUAUUUUCUGUGCAAACAAACCAAAUUUGUGAUGAAUAUUUAGCAUCCUCGACCUUUUGAUCUUGAUCAUUAGAAAAGCGAGUGGUGGGAGCUGCGUCCUCCAUGGAGAGGAACACCUCGGGGUCGGCAUCUUCUUACCGUGAAUGGAUGCACCAAGAGGACGCUCCUUGGCGCCUAUACAGCACGUCAGGUGUAUUUAUAUUUUUAAAUAUCAAUUUUUCUCCCUUCAGGAGGACAAACUUCCCCUGGACAGGUACAAGUGGAUGGAGAAGCUGCUAGGGCCCGGCCAACCCCUGCCAAAGCCUCUGCAAACCUUCUUAGGACACACUGAUACCAAAAUGACAAAUUCCUGGGAGGACACUUAGCAGGGGAAGAACAUGUUCACCUUUCAAUUAUCAAAGUUGCAAUUUUUAUUGAGGUCCGAGAGCAGGAAUCCUGCCCUUCCCAACCUCUCCUGCACCCAGGGAGGGAAUCCUGAUUGAACUAUGACCAGGAGAACUUCGUGGGGCAGAGAUCAGGUGUAUUAAUGGCAACGUGAUCAGCUGGCAUUUAAUUUACACUUGGAUAGCAAGCAGAAAACUAGUUUCCAAGAAAUUUUGCUGCUUCAAAUAUUUGCCUUCUGAAAUGAAAGGGAGUAAAAGUUACAUUUUGCGAUACAAAUUCCAGAAACUCAUUUGCUUUAGAAGGACCGAACAGCUUUAUUUCAAAGUGAUUUUUGUUUUUUCCUUAGGAAAUGCAGUUAAUUUAAAAAAAAUUGUUCAUAGGAGAAAUUGAAUAAUUUUGGAAAUGAUGGAAUAGGGUAUGUCAAUGUCAUUGAAGUGCUUUGCCUAAAUAAAAUAUUACUGACAUUAGUGAGGUUUUGAAAAUAUUAAGACUUGGUUGAAAAUGCUCACUGUUUGUCCUAGCACUUUGAAAAAUUUCCAGGCAGACCUAAUUCAAAUUAUAAGUGUAUUUUUUCCUGAUUUCUUUUCAUUAGUGUCUCAAUCCUUUAAUUGCAGUUGAAGGGAGUGUAUAAAGUGGUCCAUUUUGCAUUAAAAUAGUCCACAAUAUGUGAUUUCCUCAUCUGUGUUAUGGAUGUUGAU